CAGAAAUCACUUCACAGCAGUGGAAAAGUACAAACGUUCUUUGACGCCGGAAAGCGGUGACUUGGUCAAAUACGUGCUCACUACGCCUGCGCAGCACGGCCCGCAGGGGGGUAGGGGGCGUCCUGCCUGCGGAGUUCACUACGCCUGCGCAGAGCGACCUGCGGGGCUGGCCUCCGGAGUUCGCUGCGCCUGCGCAGAGCUGCCCGCGGGAGUCCUACCUGCGGGGUUCGCCGCGCCUGCGCCCAGGCUGCUCAGGCGGAUCCUUCCUGUGGAGUUCACUGCGCCUGCGCUAAGACUGCGGCGACCCAUGGCCACUAGGGCUGGGCCCUGAGGACAGCCAGUCCAACACGACGGGUGAACUGUGUUCCAAGGAAGUGUUUGAAACUCGGUUUAGCACCCAGAUCCCUUUCCCCGUGGAAACAGUGUAGUAAGUGGAAAUCAAGUCAACGGGCUGCCCCCCAUAGUCUGCUGAGCGCAUGUGGCGCCGAAGCCCGGCCCGCGGUCCCCCCCGGCGCCCAGUGCCACCUGCUCCGCACGCAGCCGCGGCCGUGACCUCCCUGUGGCGACCCGUGUCAGCCUAGGACGCGGUGCCGCAUGCCCGCCUUUACGCCCAGCCCCGUGUCACAGCAAGUCUGCUGCAUCCUGUCCUGCAGGCACGGUCUCCCGCUCUGCUUUCCUGUGUGUCCACUGCGGCCCGCGCCGGGACCCGCUCCGUCCGGCGCUCUGCUCCAGGCCCCGGGCUCCACCGGCCCUGCUGGUGCUUGGAGCCCCUGAGAACCCCCGGUCAGCCGAGGGUCCAGCCCCAGCAGCCGAAGCACCGACCCCUGGCUCCUCCGUGCCGUCCCCAUGGCCCACCCUGCACGGCCGAGAGUCCGUGGGCCAUGAAGACGGCAGAUGUCCGGCCCGUGCUUCCCAGAGCCCCUCUGGACCGAAACAGCUGCCUGAUCAGAGAACGCUCACUUCGCCUAAGUGCGUCUAGGAUGCCGUCCGUGCAAGGACCAGGUCGUACUCAGGUUCCUGAGCGGGGCCUUGACGCCACUGAAGGUGUGAUCUGAGGAGGUGUCAGCCAAGAACUCAGAAGAGUGGAGGGAAAGCUAUUUGUCCUUUCCCACAAGGAGGGGAGGAGGCACCUGCUCCCCCGUCUGCGCUCAUCUCAUGGGGCAGAAGUGAGCCUUGACCAGAGCCUCUGCCUGGGGCCGUGUGCGCCUCUUCUCCAGGCUGAGGUAUGCGGCUUUCUAUGGAAUGUGAUUUCAGGACUGGGAACCUACCUGAGGUUCCUGGAAGACCUGGUUCCCCCACCUGCUGGCUGCCUGGGGGUGGGAGCCCCAGAGAAAAUGUGUACCAGCCUCUAGUGUACAGUAUUUGUUCCCAAAGUGUGUUCAGUGGAACCAUCUCCUCAGCUAUUCUGCAUCCUUUUCGGAUGAGGAGCAAGCCUGAGUGGUGAUCCCGCAGACCAGCGGGCGGGGCACGUAGAAGAGUGUCCAGCACGUAACUAGGACUCACAAGACACGGGCUGUGGGAAUCAUCAUCCUGGCUGUCUUUACCUUCGGGCUCUAUGAGUGUGCACGGGUUCCUGUUACCAUCUGAAAAGAUAAUGAACUUCUGUUGGUUUGUUUUUGGAAAGCUUAGGUGGCGGGGGAGGGAAUUGGAUUUAUUACCAUCGAUAAAAUUAGUAAGUCAGUUCUCAUUUCCCGGAGAGCUAAGUGGUCGUGUCUUUUUCAUGUCUAAUUUUCUAGCUAUUCUGAACAAGAAUUUACUUACCAACUGUGGAUUCUUUCCAGCAUGUGGUUCAUUAGUGUGAUUUCAGGCUGAAACUUAAAAAUUAA
This is a long non-coding RNA of Lutra lutra (Eurasian river otter), 1826 nucleotides long. RefSeq lists it as uncharacterized. NCBI's taxonomy places the organism in Eukaryota, Metazoa, Chordata, Mammalia, Carnivora, Mustelidae. The record is from RefSeq and is a predicted model, not a curated record. The transcript has 4 exons.